GUGAAUCAUCAAAUUUUUGAACGCAAAUUGCACUCUUCUCGGAGAGUAUGCCUGUGUGAGGGUCAGCCUAUAAAAAUCGAUAUCGUUGCGGUUUCGCGGUGGUGUUCGUCUUGAAUUGGGUCAUCUUAAGUCCUUGUGAUUUAGUCGUAUUAAAAUGUUCGUUUGGUACCAUGAACGUUUCUAAGAUCUAUCACUGUAAA
Molecule: unclassified non-coding RNA, 200 nt
Filed under: Glomus sp.
Lineage: Eukaryota; Fungi; Glomeromycota; Glomeromycetes; Glomerales; Glomeraceae
Description: partial contains 5.8S ribosomal RNA and internal transcribed spacer 2
Rfam family: 5.8S ribosomal RNA (bases 1-65)
Source: RNAcentral